AGAACUGCAGAUAGUACAGCUUCCACAGGAGCAAGGGAUGUCUGAGCACAAGUGGCUGAGUUCCGAGUGACUUUAUGAAGCACUUUCUACCUUCCUCUCCGGCAUGAAAACAGGGAUUCUGCACCUGCAUCAUGGACAGUCUGGCAAAAGCCUCUGCUCUGCCUCCGGGGACAAGAAACUAGAGCAAAUAACCGUUUUGAAAUUGUAAGUAUACCUCCCCCACCGCCGCCCACUGUGUGCUGAGACACCUGAAGGCUAGACAUAAUGAUCAACAGAGCUCCAGCCUGUCUGGACUCCAGCCAGAUUUUUUUCCCCUUCUACAAUCAAGGAGCUUGCACGCAAUGCAUGCCGAGCCUAUUCCACUGCUAUGUGCAGAUCCGGGAUGGAAGUCUUACACAUACUGCGGAAAGAUUAAAGACAACAAUAUCCCCUUUCUCUUACCCUAGACAGCCUCAAUUUUUAACCCUUUCAUUACCUUUGAAACCAAGACGUCUUACCCAUUCAAAGGCAGGUCUCAAGGGACUUUGCAACUCCCGCACCACAUCAUACAGAUGCACAUGCCUCAUUUGGUGUAGAAAUCUCAUCUCAACAGAUCUUAUCAGAAUAUUUUAGGAACUAAUAGUGUGCUAACUAAACAUAAUGUAAUUUGUUUGUGUGGGGAAUGCAUGUUUGAAUGAACUUAUGCUGCAUGAAAUCUGGAACAAGUCAAAGGUCUGUCGAAAGAUUCUUGCAAACCUUGCAGAAGGUUAUAUACCAUUUCUGAUGAUGCUGUUCUUUAAGCAUCUUUCUCUCUCUCUCUCCUCACACACACACAUACAUACACACAUACUCGCUCUCUUUUCUCUUUCUCUAUCUCAAGAUGCACACACUCAACCAGGAAAUUAUAUCAUUAUAUCACAGAGAAAUCCAGGUUAGCUGGUGAUGUCAUCAUAUAUAAAAUUUUGCCUUUGUGGGCAACAUUUUCAAUCACCUAAUCGCUAAUGUAUGUUGGGUGUGUGCCCAUAGGAAGUUCACGUGCUCGUGGGGUUAACCGACACCCACAGGAAAGGACUAUUUUAUUCGCAGCUAUCUUUCUUUUGAAGAUGUGUUUAUGGGGCAGGAUGGGUAUGUUUAUCAAGAUAGAUGUAGUCAGAGUUUCCUGGUUCUAGGAAGCCUUAUUAAUAUGCUGUUUGAACAUUUGAAAGGUGGCUGAAUUUCAAUGAUAUAAAUAG
This 1211-nucleotide long non-coding RNA is filed under the name Homo sapiens (human). RNAcentral's name for it is "non-protein coding lnc-ATP6V1G3-4:13". Lineage: Eukaryota; Metazoa; Chordata; Mammalia; Primates; Hominidae. The record is from RNAcentral.